GACCGCGUAGCUCAGUUGGCAGAGCAUUGGACUAGUAUUCCAAACUAAGGUCGUAAGUUCGAUUUCCAGUUUCCCACCGUGGCC
Non-coding RNA from Paramuricea clavata, 84 nucleotides. The record is from the annotation of a GenBank genome assembly. NCBI's taxonomy places the organism in Eukaryota, Metazoa, Cnidaria, Anthozoa, Malacalcyonacea, Plexauridae.